RNAcentral lists this transfer RNA (77 nucleotides) under Clostridiales bacterium S5-A14a. Its description in RNAcentral is "tRNA-Arg". It matches the Rfam family "tRNA". Rfam says of the family: Transfer RNA (tRNA) molecules are approximately 80 nucleotides in length. The record is from RNAcentral. Lineage: Bacteria; Bacillati; Bacillota; Clostridia; Peptostreptococcales; Anaerovoracaceae.
GGGGUAUUAGCUCAACUGGAUAGAGUCGCGGUCUUCGAAUCCGUCGGUUGGGGGUUCGAGUCCCUCAUGCCCUACCA